This 1003-nucleotide long non-coding RNA is filed under the name Junco hyemalis (dark-eyed junco). RNAcentral describes it as "lncRNA (ENSJHYG00000012923.1)". Lineage: Eukaryota; Metazoa; Chordata; Aves; Passeriformes; Passerellidae. The record is from RNAcentral.
CCACCCGGGCGCUGGCUGCAUCCUGUGGGUGAUGAGGGGGGGUCCCAAAUGUCCGGGGGAGACCCCUGAGGGACAGGGGAGACCCUCGAGGGGCACAGGAGACCCCCAAGGGUCCCCCAACCCCUUCCCUACAAGACCUCAGGGUGGGUCCCGCCACUCACCCGAGUGUGUUCGGGUUGUUCCGGAGGAGUUUUGGGGGGUUCGGUUCGGGUUCUUCCGGACGGGACGGUUCCGGUUCGGGUCCCCUCUGAGUGGGUUUGGGUUCCUUAGCGCGGGACGCUGCCGCUUCGGGUGUUUCGGGUCUCUCUGGAGCGGUUCUGCCCCUCCCGGUUCGGCUUCCCUCAGGCGGGUCCGGCUUCCCUCAGGCGGGUCCGGCUCCCCUCAGGUGGGCUCAGGUUCCCCUCAGGCAGGUUCGGGUCCCUCCGGACAGCUUCGGGUCCACGUUCGGGCUCCCCCGGGCGAGUUCGGAUCCCUCCGGGAGUGUUCGGGUCCCCCUUCGAGUCCAAGUUCGGGUCUCUCCGGAGCGGUUCGGCUCCUCCCGGUUCGGGUUCUUCAGGCGGGUUCGGGUCAAUUAGCGCGGGUUGGUCCCGGUUCGGGUGUUUUCGGAGCGGUUCGGCUCCUCCCGGUUCGGCUCCCCUCGGGCGGGUUCGGGUCCCUCCGCCGGGCCGGUCCCAGCCGUGUCACUCCGGGCGGUGCCCACCGGGGCGUGGCCAGAGGGGUGUGACGUCAGGGGGUCCCGGGCAAUGACGUCAGGGCAUCACCACGAACGCGGGGGGGCUCUGAGGGGGUCUCUGGGGUAUCCCCAAAGUGGGGGAGGGGCACCCACGUGCGACCCCCGCCCUCGGGUGGGUGACACGGGGGACACCGGGCGGCGCCCCCACCCCUCCCCCACUUCCCCCUCCCUCCCGGGCCCGUUUUGGGCCGUUUCGCGCUGUUUUGGGAAGUUUGGCCGUUGCCGGGGGCAACGCGACCGCGACGGCCGCAAAUAUUUACUGGGUUGUCA